Molecule: long non-coding RNA, 3572 nt
Organism: Haemorhous mexicanus (house finch)
Lineage: Eukaryota; Metazoa; Chordata; Aves; Passeriformes; Fringillidae
Exons: 4
Source: RefSeq, a predicted model, not a curated record
GGACUGCCGCCGCGCCCGGUCUCGUUCUGGCUCUCACUCUCCCUUCACCUCUCUCUGGCUCUCGCUCUCUCCCGCUCCUGGAGCUGCCAGGAGUCUCCCCUCCGGCCGUGGAGGUGUUCUGAGGGCAGCGCCCUCUGCAGAGGCCGGCCCGGGGCCGCUGUGAGGGUGCGGUACCCGGAAACGGCACCCGAAGGGCUGCCUCACAUCGGCCAGCACGGCUUUGAGAGGGAGAAAAAAGCGGGAUUAAAGUUUUCCUCCUCCAAGAAAAGAAGCAGGAAUGCAAAACGUUGGAAUAACUAAAUGCACUUGUCUUGGAAGGGGUUCAAGAAUGAUGCAGUAGAUGGCAGAAUGGCCCCGCAGUCCUUUUUCUGUACUGAAGACUGGAGACUCACAGCAUUACAUCAGGCAUGCUGGUGAACCGAAUGUGCCCAGGACUUCUGCAUUCUCUGUCCCCCAAGCAGCAAGUGACUGACCUUCCUUGAGACUUUUCUGGCUGUUCACCUCAAGGCAUUCCUUCUCCUUCAGUGGCUUAAGAUCUCCUGCAGGUUCCAGCCUGCCUGCUGCUGCUCCAAGAGCUGCCCUGGCGAGUGAAGCUCCCGGGACCGACUUCCCAACAUCCCGCAGCACCUGGACGAGGUAGGAGCGGGCGAGGAGAGUCCCUGGCGGUCCCCGCCCGGUCCCUCCCGCGGUUCCGCGUCCCCGGGCACUCAGGCACUCCGUCACUCACCAUUCUUGCGCUCGGUGAGGGGCGGCAGGCAGGGGCUGGGCUGCAGGGACAGCCCCCGCAGCUCGUGCGCCACGGCCUCGCUGUGCGGGCUGGGCGCCAGCCGCGCCGGGGGCCCGGGCUCGUCCUCGCCGUCCGCCGGCCCCGCGGGCUCCAUCCUGGGCACGCCUCGGCACUCUGCGGAAACAACGCGGCUCUGGUCACUGUCUGCUCCGGCAACACCGACAAACGCUUCAGACACUGCUCUGCCUUCACAGCUGGGCUUUGGCAGUUCCUUCGCACGCAAAAUUCAGCUUCAGAAUUAUGGACAUUACCUACUCAUUUCGCACAAAUAUUACGGGGUUGGCAAAAAUAUAGUCAGGGAAUGGAUUCAGAGGCCAUUUAACAGAAAGCAGGACAGUUUCUCUGCUCACACCAACAGAAACAUCACCCAGUUUUAACCCUCACCAUGGAUGUCCAGAAGCUCCUGUGCCCCACCCUGUGUCCCCACCCGCCUAUCAGCACAUUCCCUUUUCCCAAUAGCUUCUAUUAGAGAAUGCUGAAUUAAUAUAGUGUGCUAACAUACAAAUGGCUUUUAAUAUUUUCAAGCUCUGCACAACUCUCCUUCAGAUCUCAAACCAACGUCAGUAUUUACAGAGGAUUUCACACCACCAAAGGAGUAUAUCAGAGCUAGUUAAUCCUCAUUCUUCCCAGUAAGGCUUUUGGCCAUGAACAUUUUAAAAUUAAUUUUACUGCACACUAGCUACUUAUUGAAUAGUAGAAGAAAAGUCCCAAUUUACUCUAUCCUUCCUUUCUAUCAUUAGUGUAAUACUUCAUCUACAGUAAGGAGAGACAGAAGUAUGAAUUACUGGUACAGGCUUUUUAUACCUGACAAAACUAUCAAGUCAUUAAAAUUUCAGUAAAAGAAUAUGGACGUCAAUGAAGUCCUAUCUCUUGGAAACUUGAAUGAUAUGAAAUAUUAACAACUCAGAAAGAUCCACAAACAUGAAGAAAUAUCUUAUUAUUGUGAGAUUUUUUGUUAAUUUUAAAUUAUUUUUCUUAAGAAACACAACUGCUUGCCAUACUCAGCCUUAAACUUCAAAUAUUCUGAAUAUAAACACCACAUGUGUUGGAGCGUGUAUUCAGAAUUUUGAAAAUGCAAUAUAUGUUUCAAUGAUCAAUACCAAAAUAUUUCAAGUGUUAACAUGAUAUUUAAAAAACCAAGAUGACAAAAGAUUAUCAUGACCACCAAAGAAUGUCCUACACUACAAAAGAGUAGAGAAUCAUGUUCUGAAAGUGUGAAUUGAAAAAUAAGAAAUGUAAGCAAGUACUGCUUGAUAUACACCUAAACAGAACAAUUAUCAUGGUUAAGUGCAUAUUUUUCAUUAUUUUCCCUAGUUACCAACUGGAGCUCUCACAUUAAAUGAAGACACAUUAACUUACUGUUAUGCAAGAUUUUUCUUCUUUGUUCUUAGCUUCUAGAAGCAUAAUUUACUCAGCUCUCACUCGAUUUCCUGACAUUACACUCUCCUCAAACUCCCACUCACUCAUACAAAUUAAGUACAUUAUUAACCAAGCAGGUCUCUUCAGAGCAGAAUUUAACUAAAAAUUUAGCUGCUUAUCUGUUCAUAUUCACAGAAUUUUAUCCACAAUUUACUAGUUAUGAGUUGCCUUGGAGUCACUUUUCAAAGAGAUUAAGCCACGUGAGCUGUAUUCAUGCUUUUAAACCAGAUGAAAUUAACAGAAACACCUUCUUGUACUAAGGCUCAGCAUUUGUUAUGCUGCAGAUUUGCUUUGACUAAUUUUUUUCCCCAUGACAGAUAAGUAAACAUCAUGCUUUGAAUGAAACUAGCUUGACUUUCACCACAUCUACAAUGCACUGCAGCAUUGGUAACAUGUCCAUCCCUUAAUUUUUGUUUCAGGAACGUACAGAAAUGUGGGUUUAUUGUCCAGAUCCAACUGAGAGCCCAGCAUGCAAUUAAAUUAUGUUGAUUGCAGCACAGCAGCACAACUCAAAACAAGUCUGACUACCCACACAGCAUGUGCUUGAUCUGUGGUUUGAACAUUAAUAGAUCAGGUUGGAAGGGACCUUCUGGAGGUCGUCUAGUCUAUCCCCCCAUCUCAUGGGAUUACCAGCUCUCAGGAACUUGUCUUGUCCCGUCAGCUUCUGAAAAUCUCCAAAGCAGGUGAUUUCACCACCUCUGGGUAACCUCAGCAUGAGUGCUCUGCCCACCUGCUUCACACAGAAUUUCUUCUCCUGCUGAUCAUGACUCUCAGGACCCUAUUUUCACUGUGGUUUCAUACAGUACAUGAACAUCAUCACUAGGAAACCUCUGAACUGAAUCCAAAGUUCUCCAGAACUCUAACCCUAAUUUUAAACUUUCCAGUUCACAGUGAAGUCCCACAUACUGCACUUCCUUUUUCCUAAAUCUUUUAGAUAGGUAUGUUCUCAAAUGAUUCUUUAACUCUACAACAACCCUAUUGCUAUGCUGCUACAUAAUCUUUGAACAAAAGACACUCUAGAAUUCCCAAAAAGUCUAAAUUCCUCAAAUUCUUUACUCAUAUCUUGUAUCACAUUUUGCUCUCAUUUCUUUUCGUUAUUACUUAUGAACUGCUACUGUAUCAGACUACAGAAAUAUUUCUGAGCUAAGAACAACAAAUUCUCUUAACCUUCCCCAAAAAGGAAAACACACAUCUCCACCCAGCAUUUCCAGGGUUUUUUUGUAGGGGGAAAAAAAAUCAGUGACCUACAUCAUGAACAUCUGGCAUAGAUACACUAGGAUUCUUACAGCUCCUUACUGAAUCAACAAACAGAACUUCUAAAAAAUAUUAUAAAGAUGACUUGCAAUAAUAAAAUAUAAACAAUUAA